RNAcentral lists this ribosomal RNA (460 nucleotides) under uncultured bacterium. RNAcentral's name for it is "partial 16S ribosomal RNA". It matches the Rfam family "Bacterial small subunit ribosomal RNA", at positions 338 to 795 of the family's 1533-position model. The record is from RNAcentral.
CCUACGGGUGGCAGCAGUGAGGAAUAUUGGUCAAUGGACGAGAGUCUGAACCAGCCAAGUAGCGUGAAGGAUGACUGCCCCAUGGGUUGUAAACUUCUUUUAUAUGGGAAUAAAAUGUUCCACGUGUGGGUUUUUGUAUGUACCAUAUGAAUAAGGAUCGGCUAACUCCGUGCCAGCAGCCGCGGUAAUACGGAGGAUCCGAGCGUUAUCCGGAUUUAUUGGGUUUAAAGGGAGCGUAGGUGGAUUGUUAAGUCAGUUGUGAAAGUUUGCGGCUCAACCGUAACAUUGCAGUUGAAACUGGCAGUCUUGAGUACAGUAGAGGUGGGCGGAAUGCGUGGUGUAGCGGUGAAAUGCUUAGAUAUCACGAAGAACUCCGAUUGCGAAGGCAGCUCACUGGACGGCAACUGACACUGAGGCUCGAAAGUGUGGGUAUCAAACAGGAUUAGAUACCCCGGUAGUC